UUGGGCACCAGUAAACCCUGACGGUUUAUGGCACAGAAUCAGGGGCAGUGUUGACAUCAGAGUCCAGGGUCUAGGCUCCCAGUUUAUUUCACUCUACACCAUAUGGGAGUAUACACCAUUCAUUUAAUCAUUCAUUCCAUCCAACCUUCUCUUGAGCACUAGGUCUCAUGCGUGUGACAGCUAGGGGACACGGGUGAAUGUGCCCACUCUGCACAGGAGAGAGGUGCCUGAUGAAGCGUAGGGCCACAGUUGCAGACAACUGGGUGCGGCCAACAUUUGUUCCCCUCUGAGGGUCCAGUAAUGGCCAAAACCCUCAGGCUCCCUUCCCCACGCCCCAGGCUGCGCUGGGCCCAGCCUCUGCUCUAGGUGUCCCCAGCCACACGCUGGGACUUCUGCUUGCUGCCAGGAGAGACCUGAAUCCCGCCGCCACCGUCGGAGGCGGGGUGGAGGGGGUGCUGGGGUUGCGGUUCGGGGUGUUAGAGCAGCCACUGGUGGUGGCCCCAGGUCUGACUCGCGCGGGCCGGCGAAGGCGGGCUCCCCCGCUCCCCCUGGCGGCCGUGAACGCCUGCGCGGGCCCAGGCUCCCACGCGAGUCGCCCAGAGCCUCCACUCUCCGUGCGCGGCCAGCCCCGUGCCUCCUGGCAUCUGUCUCUCGGGGUCAAGAGGGGAUUGGGAUCUGUGGGGACAGACCCUGCUUUACUCCUACGGGCCACCAUUCGAGCGUCAGCGGCGGACGGCGGCCCUUGGGACUGAAGGGGGCAGCAUCUCCACGCAGUCUGGGACUCGCGCCGGAAGGUGGCUUUCCUAGGGGCCUCCCGGCGUGCGGGCCUCCGCUAGAUUCCCCACCACUCAAGAGCCGGGUUUUAUUUUGUUUCGGAAAUACUUCAGGACCUUCUGUUACUUUUAUUUAUUUAGGGAAGAGUUUUAAGAAUGUUACAAAAGUAACUUAGGCUCUUGGAACAGACCAAGCAACCAAACAUAAAGACAGUAUUAAUGGUGUAGCCAUUCCUCAAAAAGUUCAACAUAGAAUUACUACAUGACCCAGCUCUGAGUCAUAUAACCCAGAAGACUUCCACUUCUGGGCAUAUACUCAAAAGAAGUGAAAACAAGUUUCAAGAAGAUACUUGCACACCCACGUUUACAGCAGCGCUCUCCACAAUAACCAAAGGUGGACUCAUCCCUGGACACUCGCAUGGAUAUACCAAAUGUAGAAUAUACCACAGUGGACUAUUUAUCCAGCCUUAAAAAGAGAGAAAAUUUGGACACAUGCUACAACACGAAUGGAUGACCUUUGAGGACAUUAUGCUCUGUGAAAAAAAAACAGACACCAGACACAAAAAGACAAAUGUUGCAUGAUUCCACUUACAUGAACUAUCCAGAAUGGGCAACUUCAUUGGGACAGAAACUAGACUAGAGGCUACUAGGUUCUGGGUGGGGGCACCGGAGAGUUAUUGCUUAAUGGCCACAGAGUUUCUCCUUGGAGUGUUGAAAUUUCUUGAAAAUAGUGGUGAUGGCCGCAGAGUAUUGUGAGUAAUUUGUGUCACUGAAGGCUACAACUUUGAGUUUACCUCUCUUCGUCCCCAAGGCCAGGGGCAUUGGAGUAACUUAACAGGAGUCUGGAGUCAUGUAAAUGGAAGGGGCAGGAUUUGAGCAAGAUCAGUGUGGGCAGCUUCCCUCCAAGAGGCCAGCAGCUGUAGUGAAGUGCUUCUCAGGGCCUCACACCUCCCUUGGAGUGCCAUUUGCGGUUCCGUCACUAAAGAGAAAGGACCCCCUGAAAGUGAGAGGAGGAAGAGGUAGGAGACCGAUUUUCUCAUGGCUGAACCUUCUGUCAACGUUUUCGGGAAGAGCAGGGCACUGUUAAUUCCCAGGAAGGUGGUGAGGCCAGAAUAGUACAAGACACGACAGGAUGAACUUCUGGAGCUCUGGCAGAACCAGGUUUGGAACACAUCCCCUGGGAGGGGCUGGCGGAACAUACCGGAAUAAUCCAAAGUAAUUACACUCGUCUCAACCACGUACAUCAGGCAGGUGCCUGACCUUGAGCAAGCUCCCCCCACUUUUUUUUUCUUUAAGUCUCACAUUCCUGGGGUGGAGAACGGAGACAUUAUCCGUACCUCGCAGCGUCCUUGUGAAGGUAAAACGAGACUGCGUCUAUCAAGUGCCUGGCAAAGCAUCUAGGAUACAGUAGGUGCUUAAUAAAUAUCAGUGUAGCAGGAUGCUAGCUGAAAGAUUGCGAAGUUCUGGUUUCUUAGUUUUGUGGGUGUUUAAGUCAUUCUGUUCUUCCUUGAGGGUGGAGGCCAAGUGGGCUUAUGGCUGAUUAGGAGACGAGGAACGGUGUUUUUCUCCUUCCAGGAAGAGAACUUUACUAUUCUUAAGAUCUUGACCUCCUUUACAUCCAGAAAACCUUUGUAGUUUUAAGGCUGAUGGCCUGUCAUGGCACAAAGAAGCAGAAUGGAUGUGUUCCAUUUUGGAGGCUUGAAAAGGGCCCAGUGGCCUGAGCCUGCCAGUUAGCCCCCAGGGGCUGGGAAUAACAAGCGGAGUGACAUUGAAAGUAAAUUGUUCUGCUUAAAGUGUUGAAUCUUAACAUCUUUUCCUGUGGCUCCAGAACUCUCUUUUUCUAUCAGGCUUUGUGGCUUUUAUACAGGAACCAGAAUUGAGGGCCAGGCCACACCCUGGACAGUCCUGGCCACGUCCUAGCCACUGACCCAUUAGUGAUGGGAAUUAUCUGUGGAUUGUCUUUUUCGGGGAGAUGGGGUGUGAUCAAU
This is a long non-coding RNA of Neofelis nebulosa (Clouded leopard), 2761 nucleotides long. RefSeq lists it as uncharacterized. Lineage: Eukaryota; Metazoa; Chordata; Mammalia; Carnivora; Felidae. The record is from RefSeq and is a predicted model, not a curated record. The transcript is spliced from 3 exons.